UUUUUUUUAAUUUGCUUUCCAGUUAUUUUGGUUUGGUUUUUUGAAGCAGGUGUUUAAGGUUUAACCUUCUUCAGGGACAAAUUCUGACUGUUGGGGAACUUAACUCUGCAAUAUGAAAAUCUCUUCACGCUCUGGUAGGGCUUGGAUGGUUGAACUCUGUACUGCCUUGUCUGCAUUCAGCCCCAACCCCCUCUGAUUCUCUGUUUUUAAAAGUGUGUCCUUUCUCUUUGUACAUGUUUAACAUGACGCAAUAAUUUGAGGGCAAACUUAGUAGUGAGUGUGUAUGAUAGAAUCAAGAGAAUUAUGGGAUGCUGACUUGAGAAAAUCAUGACUAUGAUUUGGUUCUAGGAAAAAGGCAGUGGAUAAUUAUGCAAAUUUGCCAGGAGAAGGGGAGACAUGCUAAUGGGCCUUAUUGGAUGAGGGUAGGAGAUAGGGUACACCUUCAGGAGGAAGUGCUAUAGGUGUAGGAAAGGCCAGCCCCAGACAUCUUACUGUGACUGCCAUUUUGCAGUAGGAAGGAGGGGCUGACCAUCCCCACCACUAUAACACACUGACAAACAUGGAAUUAAAACUACCUAGAUUGUGAGAGCUGAAUUUAGACAACCGGAUUAGUGUCAUGCAGACCAGAAACACCUGUUGUCUUUGCCUAAAAAAAAAAAAAAAAUUUUUUUUUUUUCUUUUGGAGAUCCAAAGGGAAAUCUGUAAAAGAAUAUGAUCUUCCAUCUAAAUGGAGGGAAGUUAUAAAACAAAAACACUACUAUCGUGGCUCAGGAUAUGAUGGUGGGGAGAGCGAGGGAACUGGGGUGAUUUUGAGUUUUAAGAACGAGACAGUUGUGGGCCUAAAUUGAGUCCAUUUACCAGCACCAGGUACUGUUAGAAGCUUCACCCAUCAGGACAGCGGUUGAUAACUGGUGCACGCCCCAUCCUUAUCUUCCUGUGGGUUGCUGAUGAGAGAACCUAACAAAAUCUAUACUCAUAUGACCGAUCAAAUUCGUUACCUGAACACCAAGAAGAAAAUUAACCAGUUGCCUUGGAAUCGACUCGAUGGCAGUGGGCUUGGUUUGGUUUUUGGUCUGUUCCCUCCAUCUCCCCAAACGUCUGACACCCGAAAAGCCACCCACAGCUAUAGAACCUGAGCAGCAUUCCAAUUUUUGUCAUCAUCUAACCAAGCCCCAAAGACUCCCCUCCCUCAGCUCCCCACCCUCGCCCACCUCCAAGAUGAUGCAGUUCAGACUUCCCUCUUGAAAGGCAGAGGUGAACAUUCAGGACCGUCUCUGGCAGGGCACUUCCUGUUCAAACUCCCCACAAGUGGGCUGUCUCCCCUCAUUUCAUUUUUCUAAAGGGGCCAACGCCUCUUCUAGAAAAUAAUAAAAUGCAAUGUGUGUGAUUUACUUUUCUGAUCUCUUUGAGAAAUAGAUAACUAUCUUAUAAAAGUGUGUUCUUAACUCCAGAACCACUCUUUUUGCAUAAAUACCUCAUCGGGCAGCUUUCUAAGUGUUCUUUCCCCAAGUCUCCUAGGCAGCCCGCAUUGGAUCUGCUGGAAGCCUUGUUGGGGAAACUUUAGCGAGGGUACUUUUUUCUAUUUUUCUUCUGUUUUUGGAGGCAUACACAUUAUGUAUAA
Molecule: long non-coding RNA, 1621 nt
Organism: Trichechus manatus latirostris (Florida manatee)
Lineage: Eukaryota; Metazoa; Chordata; Mammalia; Sirenia; Trichechidae
Exons: 2
Source: RefSeq, a predicted model, not a curated record